GGGCGAACGAAACCGAAAGGCAAAGAAAAUCUAUCAGCAGCAGAAUUGCAUUUUCGAAGGAAAGAAGAGGAGAAGAUGGCUGUGGUUACCUGUCAGUCUUCCGGUGCUGGCGAAGAAGGCAACAACUAAAAAAGGAUAGACAACGCGUUCUCGCAGCCUUACAGUUUGCUACCGGUUCUCAGAAAAAAGGGGGAGAUGUGGGAG
Molecule: long non-coding RNA, 204 nt
Organism: Hyaena hyaena (striped hyena)
Lineage: Eukaryota; Metazoa; Chordata; Mammalia; Carnivora; Hyaenidae
Exons: 3
Source: RefSeq, a predicted model, not a curated record